RNAcentral lists this unclassified non-coding RNA (306 nucleotides) under plant metagenome. Its description in RNAcentral is "partial contains 5.8S ribosomal RNA, internal transcribed spacer 2, and large subunit ribosomal RNA". The stretch from base 1 to 105 matches the Rfam family "5.8S ribosomal RNA", at positions 50 to 154 of the family's 154-position model. The record is from RNAcentral.
GAAAUGCGAUAAGUAGUGUGAAUUGCAGAAUUCAGUGAAUCAUCGAAUCUUUGAACGCACAUUGCGCCCCUUGGUAUUCCAUGGGGCAUGCCUGUUCGAGCGUCAUCUACACCCUCAAGCUCUGCUUGGUGUUGGGCGUCUUUGUCCCGCCUCCGCGCGCGGACUCGCCCCAAAUUCAUUGGCAGCGGUCCUUGCCUCCUCUCGCGCAGCACAUUGCGCUUCUCGAGGUGUUGCGGCCCGCGUCCAGAAAGCAAUCGUUACCGUCUUUGACCUCGGAUCAGGUAUAGAUACCUGCUAAACUUAGGC